Carya illinoinensis is the source of this 108-nucleotide small nucleolar RNA. Lineage: Eukaryota; Viridiplantae; Streptophyta; Magnoliopsida; Fagales; Juglandaceae. The record is from RefSeq and is a predicted model, not a curated record.
AACCAUGAUACGGACACAAGCUAAGUAACUUUUUAAAACGUUCUCAUGCUUGAUUCAAAAUCUCACUAUACUUUUGUGUAAAAGUUGAUAUUUGCCUUUUCAAAGCAU